CCUAUCAGCUUUAGACGGUAGGGUAUUGGCCUACCGUGGCUAUGACGGGUAACGGGGAAUUAGGGUUCGAUUCCGGAGAGGGAGCCUGAGAAACGGCUACCACAUCUAAGGAAGGCAGCAGGCGCGCAAAUUACCCAAUCCUAAUACAGGGAGGUAGUGACAAGAAAUAACAAUACAGAGCCUUACGGUUUUGUAAUUGGAAUGAGUUAAGUAUAAACCCCUUAACAAGUAUCAAUUGGAGGGCAAGUCUGGUGCCAGCAGCCGCGGUAAUUCCAGCUCCAAUAGCGUAUAUUAAAGUUGUUGCAGUUAAAAAGCUCGUAGUUAAUUUUCUGUUAAUUUUUAUAUACAAUGCUACGGUAUUUAUAUAAUAUUAACAUAAUUCAUAUUACUUUUUAGUAUAUGAAACUUUACUUUGAGAAAAUUAGAGUGCUUAAAGCAGGCUAUUGCCUUGAAUACUCCAGCAUGGAAUAAUAUUAAGGAUUUUUAUUCUUCUUAUUGGUUCUAGAAUAAAAAUAAUGAUUAAUAGGGACAGUUUGGGGAACAUUUAUCA
This 550-nucleotide ribosomal RNA is filed under the name Cryptosporidium ryanae. RNAcentral describes it as "SSU rRNA". It matches the Rfam family "Eukaryotic small subunit ribosomal RNA", at positions 311 to 899 of the family's 1831-position model. The record is from RNAcentral. Lineage: Eukaryota; Apicomplexa; Conoidasida; Eucoccidiorida; Cryptosporidiidae.